UUAGAACUACAACAGGUGUUAUUCUCUUGCACUUUGCGACAUGAGAUGAAGUGUUGGAGUCCUUCUGCUUCCUGGGCACGAUCCUCAGCCAAGACCUCAAGUGGGAGCAGAAAAUCAGCUCCCUCACCAAAAAAGCCCAACAGAGGAUGUUCUUCCUACGGCAGCUGAAGACCUGCCAAAGACAAAUGAUGGUGAAAUUCUACACCUCCAUCAUGGAGUCCAUCCUCACCUCCUCCAUCACCAUCUGGUACGCUGCCGCUACAGCCAAGGACCAGGGCUGCAGCGUAUCCUCCGCUCUGCAGAGAGGGUGAUCGGCUGCAAUCUGCCAUCCCUCCACGACCUGCACACCUCCAGGACCCUGAGGGGGGACCGACCCCUCCCACCCUGGACACAAACUGUUCACCCCCCUCCCCUCUGGCAGGGGACCAAAACCUCUCCAUCACUCUUUUAGAGGAAAUAACAAAAUGACAAAAGUAAAGCGCUCACAUGGAGGGAAAAAGGCACAACACUGAUUCUCUUAAGCGAUGGCUUGGAUCUGGCUUCUUGGGAAGACGAACAAGACGAACCGACAACUAACAAGGAGAGACAGGACAAUAUAUACAUGAGGUGAUGAGUCAAAAUUCCUGAAGGAGUUGACAAUAUGCAAAUGAGAGGUCAAGGUUGAGCAAGACAAAGUUGAUGUCAUUUUGAAUCUUGGCAGCUCUACGGCAGGAUGAGUCAGGAGCCAUUUGGGGUGAAGUGUCUUGCCCAGGGACACAACGACAUGCUG
Gymnodraco acuticeps is the source of this 769-nucleotide long non-coding RNA. RefSeq lists it as uncharacterized. The transcript is spliced from 3 exons. The record is from RefSeq and is a predicted model, not a curated record. NCBI's taxonomy places the organism in Eukaryota, Metazoa, Chordata, Actinopteri, Perciformes, Bathydraconidae.